GACAACUCAGAGGAAGUGCUCCCUCGCCAGCUGCCCGUCUGCCGCCCCAGCAGCCCGACUGGCAGCCCCACUAGACCCCAGGGAGAUAGAGAACCCCCCAGCAUUAGCAAAGGUAAGGAGGCUGGGGGUGUAAAUUAAAAAAAAAAAUUGAGUGUGUCUGUUAGAGAGUGUGAGUGUGUCUGUUAGUGUGUGUGUGUGUCUGACUGUGUCUGUUAGUGAGUGUGUCAGUUUCUGUUAGCUAAUGUAUGCAUAUCUGUGUGUGUGUGUGUGUGUGUGUGUGUAUUUAGAAUGCGGGGCGGGGGAGGGGGGCGCCUGAGUUUUGUCCUGCCUAGGUCAGCACAAAACCAGGAUACACCACUGAGCUCCACCAUCAAUAUAUCUACAGCUUCUUAUACACAAAGUCAACUGCUAUUUUUUCUUCAAUAAUGGUGUUCUCC
RNAcentral lists this long non-coding RNA (437 nucleotides) under Pelobates cultripes (western spadefoot toad). Lineage: Eukaryota; Metazoa; Chordata; Amphibia; Anura; Pelobatidae. The record is from RNAcentral.